GUUGGCAUGACACGGGUUAUGUUCUACUCAUAUAUGUUAUGAUGGUAUGAUACUAAACCCCUAACGGGAAGGAUUGUGCCUGAUGUUCAUAUGAUGAAAUCAUAAUCUUUCAGUCAGUUUAAUUGAAGUCUGGAGCUGGCAUGUCAGUUAACUGCUAGUAGUCUGUUGUUAUUUAUGUAUUAUUGUCAUUUUGUUUAUUUUCUUUGGUUACAUCUUCUGACAUCAGACUCGGACUUCUCUUGAACUGAAUUUUAAUGUGUGUAUUGUUAUGCGUUUACUUUUCU
RNAcentral lists this long non-coding RNA (284 nucleotides) under Mytilus galloprovincialis (Mediterranean mussel). Lineage: Eukaryota; Metazoa; Mollusca; Bivalvia; Mytilida; Mytilidae. The record is from RNAcentral.